GUAGUUUUCUUUGUCGUUUU
This 20-nucleotide microRNA is filed under the name Bos taurus (domestic cattle). RNAcentral describes it as "bta-miR-2482". Lineage: Eukaryota; Metazoa; Chordata; Mammalia; Artiodactyla; Bovidae. The record is from miRBase by way of RNAcentral.